GAUGAACGCUGGCGGCGUGCCUAAUACAUGCAAGUCGAGCGAACAGACGAGGAGCUUGCUCCUCUGACGUUAGCGGCAGACGUGUGAGUCACACGUGUAUAACCUCCCUAUAAGACUGGGAUCACUUCGGGAAACCGGAGCUAAUACCGUAUAAUCUAUUGAACCGCAUGGUUCAAUGGUGAGAGACGGUUUUGCUGUCACUUAUCGAUGGAUCCGCGCCGCAUUAGCUAGUUGGUAAGGUAACGGGUUACCAAGGCAACGAUGCGUAGCCGACGGGAUAGGGUGAUCGCCCACACGGGAACGGGGACACGCCCCAGACGCCUACGGGACGGCGCAGAAGGGAAUCGUCGGCAAUGGGCGAGAGCAUGACGGAGCAAGGGCGCGUGAGUGAUGAAGGCCUCGGGAUCGUAAAACUCGGUUAUUAGGGAAGAACAAAUGUGUAAGUAACUAUGCACGUCUUGACGGUAAUUAAUCAGAAAGCCACGGCUAACUACGUG
RNAcentral lists this ribosomal RNA (497 nucleotides) under uncultured bacterium. RNAcentral's name for it is "partial 16S ribosomal RNA". It matches the Rfam family "Bacterial small subunit ribosomal RNA", at positions 28 to 507 of the family's 1533-position model. The record is from RNAcentral.